CACAUAUCAAAAACAAUCUGUGGGCUGUGGCCGGCCCUAUAUACAUAAUCAAGUGUUUGCUGAAGAAAGAUGCUGGAAAAUGAUUGGGAAACACAACCUAGCCAAGAUCAAGUUUUUGGGUAUUGAUCUUUUUUCAAAAGAUUGUACUGGAGAUUUCCAAGGUUGUGUUGGUAUAUGCUGGAAAGAUUGUGUUGGGAUGUCUAAAGAGCCACGAGAUUUCGAGGACUUUAUAAGAUGGAGUUCUAGCGAACAAUUUUGGUUCUCGAGACCAUGAUUAAGACAGAUCAUACCAACACACUACCAGAUAAUGAUCAACCUUCUAGUGACCACAACAAGGGGUCACAAGAACUUGCAAAGAGGAUGGCUAAAGAGCCGCGAGAUUUUAAGGAUUUCAUCAAGUGGAGUUCUAGCGGAAUCUCUAGCAAAGAGGAUCACUAAAGAGCCAAGAGAUUUCAUAGAUUAUAUCAAGUUGAGUUCUGUUAAGUAGAUUUUAUGGAACCCUCACCUUCCUGGUUUCGUUGGUUCCUGAUUUUAAUGGUGCUUAUUUGAAUAAAUCAGUUUACUUUGUAAUUGUAUAUUUGUAUAUGUGUCAUCGGCCAUCUUUAUGUAUUAAGAUUUGGUAUUAGAUUUGAAUAAAUGAAUAGUUUUAUCAA
Long non-coding RNA from Erigeron canadensis, 653 nucleotides. RefSeq lists it as uncharacterized. NCBI's taxonomy places the organism in Eukaryota, Viridiplantae, Streptophyta, Magnoliopsida, Asterales, Asteraceae. The transcript is spliced from 2 exons. The record is from RefSeq and is a predicted model, not a curated record.